GACCCAGACUCCUACGGGAGGCAGCAGUGGGGAAUAUUGCACAAUGGGGGAAACCCUGAUGCAGCGACGCCGCGUGAGCGAUGAAGUCUUUCGGUAUGUAAAGCUCUAUCAGCAGGGAAGAAAAUGACGGUACCUGACUAAGAAGCCCCGGCUAACUACGUGCCAGCAGCCGCGGUAAUACGUAGGGGGCAAGCGUUAUCCGGAUUUACUGGGUGUAAAGGGAGCGUAGACGGCAUGGCAAGCCAGAUGUGAAAUACCGGGGCUCAACCCCGGGACUGCAUUUGGAACUGUUAAGCUGGAGUGUCGGAGAGGCAGGCGGAAUUCCUGGUGUAGCGGUGAAAUGCGUAGAUAUCAGGAGGAACACCGGUGGCGAAGGCGGCCUGCUGGACUGCAACUGACGUUGAGGCCCGAAAGCGUGGGGAGCAAACAGGAUUAGAUACCCCCGUA
This 447-nucleotide ribosomal RNA is filed under the name uncultured bacterium. Its description in RNAcentral is "bacterial SSU rRNA". It matches the Rfam family "Bacterial small subunit ribosomal RNA", at positions 328 to 792 of the family's 1533-position model. The record is from RNAcentral.